RNAcentral lists this transfer RNA (74 nucleotides) under Candidatus Zixiibacteriota bacterium. RNAcentral's name for it is "candidate division Zixibacteria bacterium tRNA-Pro". It matches the Rfam family "tRNA". Rfam says of the family: Transfer RNA (tRNA) molecules are approximately 80 nucleotides in length. Their secondary structure includes four short double-helical elements and three loops (D, anti-codon, and T loops). The record is from RNAcentral. Lineage: Bacteria; Pseudomonadati; Candidatus Zixiibacteriota.
CGGGGCGUAGCGCAGCCUGGUAGCGCAUCUGCUUUGGGAGCAGAAAGUCGCUGGUUCAAAUCCAGUCGCCCCGA